AUUGAACGCUGGCGGCAUGCUUUACACAUGCAAGUCGAACGGUAACAGGCCGCAAGGUGCUGACGAGUGGCGAACGGGUGAGUAAUGCAUCGGAACGUGCACAGUCGUGGGGGAUAACUACUCGAAAGAGUAGCUAAUACCGCAUACGAUCUAUGGAUGAAAGCGGGGGACCGUAAGGCCUCGCGCGAUUGGAGCGGCCGAUGUCAGAUUAGGUAGUUGGUGGGGUAAAGGCUCACCAAGCCAACGAUCUGUAGCUGGUCUGAGAGGACGACCAGCCACACUGGGACCGAGACACGGCCCAGACUCCUACGGGAGGCAGCAGUGGGGAAUUUUGGACAAUGGGCGCAAGCCUGAUCCAGCAAUGCCGCGUGCAGGAAGAAGGCCUUCGGGUUGUAAACUGCUUUUGUACGGAACGAAACGGCUCUGGUUAAUACCCGGGGCUAAUGACGGUACCGUAAGAAUAAGCACCGGCUAACUACGUG
Molecule: ribosomal RNA, 482 nt
Filed under: uncultured bacterium
Lineage: Bacteria
Description: partial 16S ribosomal RNA
Rfam family: Bacterial small subunit ribosomal RNA
Source: RNAcentral